UGAAACACAAACAACAGAACCUUUCUCGCUCAAUGGAUCUUCAAUCUCCUUGUAGUGCUUGCACUUCCCUUCACCGGAAACCUCCACUCGGCCGGCGACUAUUUUCUCUCAAUUCCGUCAACUUCCCUUUGAAUUCCGUCAAAUGCCGCCGGAAUACUACACCGAAGGUUCAAACUCCCGUCGCUGUCGCUGUCUCAGGCCAAAACGGUAGCAGCUAUUCUCCCUCAGUUCCUACUCACAAAGUCACUGUUCUCGACCGCCAACGUGGCGUCGUUCACGAAUUCCUCGUCCCUGAGGACCAAUAUAUACUUCAUACUGCAGAGGCUCAGAACAUUACGCUACCGUUCGCUUGCAGGCAUGGAUGUUGCACAAGCUGUGCUGUUCGUGUUAAAUCUGGGGAACUUAGACAACCCGAGGCAUUAGGGAUAUCUGCAGAGUUGAAGUCCAAGGGUUAUGCGCUUCUUUGUGUGGGAUUUCCGUCAUCGGACCUUGAAGUUGAAACACAGGAUGAAGAUGAGGUAUAUUGGCUUCAAUUUGGGAGAUAUUUUGCUCGAGGACCUAUUGAGAGAGAUGACUAUGCCUUGGAAUUAGCUAUGGGAGAUGAGUAACCUGUCAAGAGUUAAUUUGAGAAGACAAUAUGGAAUCAUAAGCAACAUGUACAAUUUUCUUGCCUCUCUUGCUAUAUCUGUGUGUAAUAUGCUUUCCGUGCCUUUUCCUUUGUGGAUUGGCUUUUCUCUUGUACCACUACCAUAUUGAAUAAAAAAUUAUACUCUCUUUUCUUGUCAAAA
RNAcentral lists this unclassified non-coding RNA (788 nucleotides) under Hevea brasiliensis (rubber tree). The record is from RNAcentral. Lineage: Eukaryota; Viridiplantae; Streptophyta; Magnoliopsida; Malpighiales; Euphorbiaceae.